AAGCUUGCUUGUUGGGGUUGUAGGACACUCUAUACGGAGUUACAAAGGACGACAUUAGACGAAUCAUCUGGAAAGAUGAAUCAAAGAAGGUAAUAAUCCUGUAGUCGAAAAUGUUGUCUCUCUUGAGUGGAUCCUGAGUACGACGGAGCACGUGAAAUUCCGUCGGAAUCUGGGAGGACCAUCUCCUAAGGCUAAAUACUCUCUAGUGACCGAUAGUGAACCAGUACCGUGAGGGAAAGGUGAAAAGCACCCCGGAAGGGGAGUGAAAUAGAACCUGAAACCGUGUGCUUACAAGUAGUCAGAGCCCGUUAAUGGGUGAUGGCGUGCCUUUUGUAGAAUGAACCGGCGAGUUACGAUUUGAUGCAAGGUUAAGCAGUAAAUGUGGAGCCGUAGCGAAAGCGAGUCUGAAUAGGGCGUUUAGUAUUUGGUCGUAGACCCGAAACCAGGUGAUCUACCCUUGGUCAGGUUGAAGUUCAGGUAACACUGAAUGGAGGACCGAACCGACUUACGUUGAAAAGUGAGCGGAUGAACUGAGGGUAGCGGAGAAAUUCCAAUCGAACCUGGAGAUAGCUGGUUCUCUCCGAAAUAGCUUUAGGGCUAGCCUCAAGUGAUGAUUAUUGGAGGUAGAGCACUGUUUGGACGAGGGGCCCCUCUCGGGUUACCGAAUUCAGACAAACUCCGAAUGCCAAUUAAUUUAACUUGGGAGUCAGAACAUGGGUGAUAAGGUCCGUGUUCGAAAGGGAAACAGCCCAGACCACCAGCUAAGGUCCCAAAAUAUAUGUUAAGUGGAAAAGGAUGUGGCGUUGCCCAGACAACUAGGAUGUUGGCUUAGAAGCAGCCAUCAUUUAAAGAGUGCGUAAUAGCUCACUAGUCGAGUGACACUGCGCCGAAAAUGUACCGGGGCUAAACAUAUUACCGAAGCUGUGGAUUGUCCUUUGGACAAUGGUAGGAGAGCGUUCUAAGGGCGUUGAAGCAUGAUCGUAAGGACAUGUGGAGCGCUUAGAAGUGAGAAUGCCGGUGUGAGUAGCGAAAGACGGGUGAGAAUCCCGUCCACCGAUUGACUAAGGUUUCCAGAGGAAGGCUCGUCCGCUCUGGGUUAGUCGGGUCCUAAGCUGAGGCCGACAGGCGUAGGCGAUGGAUAACAGGUUGAUAUUCCUGUACCACCUAUAAUCGUUUUAAUCGAUGGGGGGACGCAGUAGGAUAGGCGAAGCGUGCGAUUGGAUUGCACGUCUAAGCAGUAAGGCUGAGUAUUAGGCAAAUCCGGUACUCGUUAAGGCUGAGC
RNAcentral lists this ribosomal RNA (1282 nucleotides) under Staphylococcus aureus. RNAcentral describes it as "partial 23S ribosomal RNA". It matches the Rfam family "Bacterial large subunit ribosomal RNA", at positions 280 to 1561 of the family's 2925-position model. The record is from RNAcentral. Lineage: Bacteria; Bacillati; Bacillota; Bacilli; Caryophanales; Staphylococcaceae.